Molecule: long non-coding RNA, 23716 nt
Filed under: Xyrichtys novacula (pearly razorfish)
Lineage: Eukaryota; Metazoa; Chordata; Actinopteri; Labriformes; Labridae
Source: RNAcentral
GUUAGGGUUAGGGUUGGAGCUAGGGUUAGGGUUAGGGUUAGGGUUGGAGUUAGGGUUAGGGUUAGGGUUAGGGUUGGAGUUAGGGUUAGUGUUGGAGCUAGGGUUAGGGUUGGGCUUGGAGCUAGGAUUUUUCUGAGUGCAAUGAACCAACUCCCGAGUCUCUAGGACAUUCCUAAAAAAAAUUGAUUUUUUCCCAUAGGAAUGCAUGGGUUAGGGUUAUGGUUAGGGUUAGGGUUGGAGCAAGGGUUAGGGUUAGGGUUAGGGUUGGAGUUAGGGUUAGUGUUGGAGCUAGGGUUAGGGUUGGGCUUGGAGCUAGGACUUUUCUGAGUGCAAUGAACCAACUCCCGAGUCUCUAGGACGUUCCCUAAAAAAAUUUGAUUUUUUCCCAUAGGAAUGCAUGGGUUAGGGUUAGGGUUAGGGUUGGAGCUAGGGUUAGGGUUAGGGUUAGGGUUGGAGUUAGGGUUAGUGUUGGAGCUAGGGUUAGGGUUGGGCUUGGAGCUAGGAUUUUUCUGAGUGCAAUGAACCAACUCCCGAGUCUCUAGGACGUUCCUAAAAAAUUUUGAUUUUUUCCCAUAGGAAUGCAUGGGUUAGGGUUAGGGUUAGGGUUAGGGUUGGAGCUAGGGUUAGGGUUAGGGUUAGGGUUGGAGUUAGGGUUAGUGUUGGAGCUAGGGUUAGGGUUGGGCUUGGAGCUAGGAUUUUUCUGAGUGCAAUGAACCAACUCCCGAGUCUCUAGGACGUUCCAAAAAAAAUUUGAUUUUUUCCCAUAGGAAUGCAUGGGUUAGGGUUAGGGUUAGGGUUGGAGCUAGGGUUAGGGUUAGGGUUAGGGUUGGAGUUAAGGUUAGUGUUGGAGCUAGGGUUAGGGUUUGGCUUGGAGCUAGGAUUUUUCUGAGUGCAGUGAACCAACUCCCGAGUCUCUAGGACGUUCCUAAAAAAAUUUGAUUUUUUCCCAUAGGAAUGCAUGGGUUAGGGUUAUGGUUAGGGUUAGGGUUGGAGCUAGGGUUAGGGUUAGGGUUAGGGUUGGAGUUAGGGUUAGUGUUGGAGCUAGGGUUAGGGUUGGGCUUGGAGCUAGGAUUUUUCUGAGUGCAAUGAACCAACUCCCGAGUCUCUAGGACGUUCCUAAAAAAAUUUGAUUUUUUCCCAUAGGAAUGCAUGGGUUAGGGUUAUGGUUAGGGUUAGGGUUGGAGCUAGGGUUAGGGUUAGGGUUAGGGUUAGGGUUGGAGUUAGGGUUAGUGUUGGAGCUAGGGUUAGGGUUGGGCUUGGAGCUAGGAUUUUUCUGAGUGCAAUGAACCAACUCCCGAGUCUCUAGGACGUUCCUAAAAAAAUUUGAUUUUUUCCCAUAGGAAUGCAUGGGUCAGGGUUAGGGUUAGGGUUGGAGCUAGGGUUAGGGUUAGGGUUAGGGUUGGAGUUAGGGUUAGUGUUGGAGCUAGGGUUAGGGUUGGGCUUGGAGCUAGGAUUUUUCUGAGUGCACUGAACCAACUCCCGAGUCUCUAGGACAUUCCUAAAAAAAUUUGAUUUUUUCCCAUAGGAAUGCAUGGGUUAGGGUUAGGGUUAGGGUUGGAGCUAGGGUUGGGGUUAGGGUUAGGGUUGGAGUUAGGGUUAGUGUUGGAGCUAGGGUUAGGGUUGGGCUUGGAGCUAGGAUUUUUCUGAGUGCAAUGAACCAACUCCCGAGUCUCUAGGACGUUCCUAAAAAAAUUUGAUUUUUUCCCAUAGGAAUGCAUGGGUUAGGGUUAGGGUUAGGGUUGGAGCUAGGGUUAGGGUUAGGGUUAGGGUUAGGGUUGGAGUUAGGGUUAGUGUUGGAGCUAGGGUUAGGGUUGGGCUUGGAGCUAGGAUUUUUCUGAGUGCACUGAACCAACUCCCGAGUCUCUAGGACAUUCCUAAAAAAAUUUGAUUUUUUCCCAUAGGAAUGCAUGGGUUAGGGUUAGGGUUAGGGUUGGAGCUAGGGUUAGGGUUAGGGUUAGGGUUGGAGUUAGGGUUAGUGUUGGAGCUAGGUUUAGGGUUGGGCUUGGAGCUAGGAUUUUUCUGAGUGCACUGAACCAACUCCCGAGUCUCUAGGACAUUCCUAAAAAAAUUUGAUUUUUUCCCAUAGGAAUGCAUGGGUUAGGGUUAGGGUUAGGGUUGGAGCUAGGGUUAGGGUUAGGGUUAGGGUUGGAGUUAGGGUUAGUGUUGGAGCUAGGGUUAGGGUUGGGCUUGGAGCUAGGAUUUUUCUGAGUGCAAUGAACCAACUCCCGAGUCUCUAGGACGUUCCUAAAAAAAUUUGAUUUUUUCCCAUAGGAAUGCAUGGGUUAUGGUUAGGGUUAGGGUUGGAGCUAGGGUUAGGGUUAGGGUUAGGGUUAGGGUUGGAGUUAGGGUUAGUGUUGGGGCUAGGGUUAGGGUUGGGCUUGGAGCUAGGAUUUUUCUGAGUGCAAUGAACCAACUCCCGAGUCUCUAGGACGUUCCUAAAAAAAUUUGAUUUUUUCCCAUAGGAAUGCAUGGGUUAGGGUUAGGGUUAGGGUUGGAGCUAGGGUUAGGGUUAGGGUUAGGGUUGGAGAUAGGGUUAGUGUUGGAGCUAGGGUUAGGGUUGGGCUUGGAGCUAGGAUUUUUCUGAGUGCAAUGAACCAACUCCCGAGUCUCUAGGACGUUCCUAAAAAAAUUUGUUUUUUUCCCAUAGGAAUGCAUGGGUCAGGGUUAGGGUUAGGGUUGGAGCUAGGGUUAGGGUUAGGGUUAGGGUUGGAGUUAGGGUUAGUGUUGGAGCUAGGGUUAGGGUUGGGCUUGGAGCUAGGAUUUUUCUGAGUGCACUGAACCAACUCCCGAGUCUCUAGGACAUUCCUAAAAAAAUUUGAUUUUUUCCCAUAGGAAUGCAUGGGUUAGGGUUAGGGUUAGGGUUGGAGCUAGGGUUAGGGUUAGGGUUAGGGUUGGAGUUAGGGUUAGUGUUGGAGCUAGGGUUAGGGUUGGGCUUGGAGCUAGGAUUUUUCUGAGUGCACUGAACCAACUCCCGAGUCUCUAGGACAUUCCUAAAAAAAUUUGAUUUUUUCCCAUAGGAAUGCAUGGGUUAGGGUUAUGGUUAGGGUUAGGGUUGGAGCUAGGGUUAGGGUUAGGGUUAGGGUUGGAGUUAGGGUUGGUGUUGGAGCUAGGGUUAGGGUUGGGCUUUGAGCUAGGACUUUUCUGAGUGCAAUGAACCAACUCCCGAGUCUCUAGGACGUUCCCUAAAAAAAUUUGAUUUUUUCCCAUAGGAAUGCAUGGGUUAGGGUUAGGGUUAGGGUUAGGGUUGGAGCUAGGGUUAGGGUUAGGGUUAGGGUUGGAGUUAGGGUUAGUGUUGGAGCUAGGGUUAGGGUUGGGCUUGGAGCUAGGAUUUUUCUGAGUGCAAUGAACCAACUCCCGAGUCUCUAGGACGUUCCAAAAAAAAUUUGAUUUUUUCCCAUAGGAAUGCAUGGGUUAGGGUUAUGGUUAGGGUUAGGGUUGGAGCUAGGGUUAGGGUUAGGGUUAGGGUUGGAGUUAGGGUUAGUGUUGGCGCUAGGGUUAGGGUUGGGCUUGGAGCUAGGAUUUUUCUGAGUGCAAUGAACCAACUCCCGAGUCUCUAGGACGUUCCUAAAAAAAUUUGAUUUUUUCCCAUAGGAAUGCAUGGGUUAGGGUUAGGGUUAGGGUUGGAGCUAGGGUUAGGGUUAGGGUUAGGGUUGGAGAUAGGGUUAGUGUUGGAGCUAGGGUUAGGGUUGGGCUUGGAGCUAGGAUUUUUCUGAGUGCAAUGAACCAACUCCCGAGUCUCUAGGACGUUCCUAAAAAAAUUUGAUUUUUUCCCAUAGGAAUGCAUGGGUCAGGGUUAGGGUUAGGGUUGGAGCUAGGGUUAGGGUUAGGGUUAGGGUUGGAGUUAGGGUUAGUGUUGGAGCUAGGGUUAGGGUUGGGCUUGGAGCUAGGAUUUUUCUGAGUGCACUGAACCAACUCCCGAGUCUCUAGGACAUUCCUAAAAAAAUUUGAUUUUUUCCCAUAGGAAUGCAUGGGUUAGGGUUAGGGUUAGGGUUGGAGCUAGGGUUAGGGUUAGGGUUAGGGUUGGAGUUAGGGUUAGUGUUGGAGCUAGGGUUAGGGUUGGGCUUGGAGCUAGGAUUUUUCUGAGUGCACUGAACCAACUCCCGAGUCUCUAGGACAUUCCUAAAAAAAUUAGAUUUUUUCCCAUAGGAAUGCAUGGGUUAGGGUUAUGGUUAGGGUUAGGGUUGGAGCUAGGGUUAGGGUUAGGGUUAGGGUUGGAGUUAGGGUUGGUGUUGGAGCUAGGGUUAGGGUUGGGCUUUGAGCUAGGACUUUUCUGAGUGCAAUGAACCAACUCCCGAGUCUCUAGGACGUUCCCUAAAAAAAUUUGAUUUUUUCCCAUAGGAAUGCAUGGGUUAGGGUUAGGGUUAGGGUUAGGGUUGGAGCUAGGGUUAGGGUUAGGGUUAGGGUUAGAGUUAGGGUUAGUGUUGGAGCUAGGGUUAGGGUUGGGCUUGGAGCUAGGAUUUUUCUGAGUGCACUGAACCAACUCCCGAGUCUCUAGGACAUUCCUAAAAAAAAUUGACUUUUUCCCAUAGGAAUGCAUGGGUUAGGGUUAGGGUUAGGGUUAGGGUUGGAGCUAGGGUUAGGGUUAGGGUUAGGGUUGGAGUUAGGGUUAGUGUUGGAGCUAGGGUUAGGGUUGGGCUUGGAGCUAGGACUUUUCUGAGUGCAAUGAACCAACUCCCGAGUCUCUAGGACGUUCCCUAAAAAAAUUUGAUUUUUUCCCAUAGGAAUGCAUGGGUUAGGGUUAGGUGUGGGGUUGGAGCUAGGGUUAGGGUUAGGGUUAGGGUUGGAGUUAGGGUUAGUGUUGGAGCUAGGGUUAGGUUUGGGCUUGGAGCUAGGAUUUUUCUGAGUGCAAUGAACCAACUCCCGAGUCUCUAGGACGUUCCUAAAAAAUUUUGAUUUUUUCCCAUAGGAAUGCAUGGGUUAGGGUUAGGGUUAGGGUUGGAGCUAGGGUUAGGGUUAGGGUUAGGGUUGGAGUUAGGGUUAGUGUUGGAGCUAGGGUUAGGGUUGGGCUUGGAGCUAGGAUUUUUCUGAGUGCAAUGAACCAACUCCCGAGUCUCUAGGAAGUUCCUAAAAAAAUUUGAUUUUUUCCCAUAGGAAUGCAUGGGUUAGGGUUAGGGUUAGGGUUGGAGCUAGGGUUAGGGUUAGGGUUAGGGUUGGAGUUAGGGUUAGUGUUGGAGCGAGGGUUAGGGUUGGGCUUGGAGCUAGGAUUUUUCUGAGUGCAAUGAACCAACUCCCGAGUCUCUAGGACGUUCCUAAAAAAAUUUGAUUUUUUCCCAUAGGAAUGCAUGGGUUAGGGUUAGGGUUAGGGUUGGAGCUAGGGUUAGGGUUAGGGUUAGGGUUGGAGUUAGGGUUAGUGUUGGAGCUAGGGUUAGGGUUGGGCUUGGAGCUAGGAUUUUUCUGAGUGCAAUGAACCAACUCCCGAGUCUCUAGGACGUUCCUAAAAAAAUUUGAUUUUUUCCCAUAGGAAUGCAUGGGUUAGGGUUAGGGUUAGGGUUGGAGCUAGGGUUAGGGUUAGGGUUAGGGUUGGAGUUAGGGUUAGUGUUAGAGCUAGGGUAAGGUUUGGGCUUGGAGCUAGGAUUUUUCUGAGUGCAAUGAACCAACUCCCGAGUCUCUAGGACGUUCCUAAAAAAAUUUGAUUUUUUUCCAUAGGAAUGCAUGGGUUAGGGUUAUGGUUAGGGUUAGGGUUGGAGCUAGGGUUAGGGUUAGGGUUAGGGUUGGAGUUAGGGUUAGUGUUGGAGCUAGGGUUAGGGUUGGGCUUGGAGCUAGGAUUUAUCUGAGUGCAAUGAACCAACUCCCGAGUCUCUAGGACGUUCCUAAAAAAAUUUGAUUUUUUCCCAUAGGAAUGCAUGGGUUAGGGUUAGGGUUAGGGUUGGAGCUAGGGUUAGGGUUAGGGUUAGGGUUGCAGUUAGGGUUAGUGUUGGAGCUAGGGUAAGGUUUGGGCUUGGAGCUAGGAUUUUUCUGAGUGCAAUGAACCAACUCCCGAGUCUCUAGGACGUUCCUAAAAAAAUUUGAUUUUUUUCCAUAGGAAUGCAUGGGUUAGGGUUAGGGUUGGAGCUAGUGUUAGGGUUAGGGUUGGAGCUAGGGUUAGGGUUAGGGUUAGGGUUGGAGUUAGGGUUAGUGUUGGAGCUAGGGUUAGGGUUGGGCUUGGAGCUAGGAUUUUUCUGAGUGCAAUGAACCAACUCCCGAGGCUCUUGGACGUUCCUAAAAAAAUUAGAUUUUUUCCCAUAGGAAUGCAUGGGUUAGGGUUAGGGUUAGGGUUGGAGCUAGGGUUAGGGUUAGGGUUAGGGUUGGAGUUAGGGUUAGUGUUGGAGCUAGGGUUAGGGUUGGGCUUGGAGCUAGGAUUUUUCUGAGUGCAAUGAACCAACUCCCGAGUCUCUAGGACGUUCCUAAAAAAAUUUGAUUUUUUCCCAUAGGAAUGCAUGGGUUAGGGUUAGGGUUAGGGUUGGAGCUAGGGUUAGGGUUAGGGUUAGGGUUGGAGUUAAGGUUAGUGUUGGAGCUAGGGUUAGGGUUGGGCUUGGAGCUAGGAUUUUUCUGAGUGCAGUGAACCAACUCCCGAGUCUCUAGGACGUUCCUAAAAAAAUUUGAUUUUUUCCCAUAGGAAUGCAUGGGUUAGGGUUAUGGUUAGGGUUAGGGUUGGAGCUAGGGUUAGGGUUAGGGUUAGGGUUGGAGUUAGGGUUAGUGUUGGAGCUAGGGUUAGGGUUGGGCUUGGAGCUAGGAUUUUUCUGAGUGCAAUGAACCAACUCCCGAGUCUCUAGGACGUUCCUAAAAAAAUUUGAUUUUUUCCCAUAGGAAUGCAUGGGUUAGGGUUAGGGUUAGGGUUGGAGCUAGGGUUAGGGUUAGGGUUGGAGUUAGGGUUAGUGUUGGAGCUAGGGUUAGGGUUGGGCUUGGAGCUAGGAUUUUUCUGAGUGCACUGAACCAACUCCCGAGUCUCUAGGACAUUCCUAAAAAAAUUUGAUUUUUUCCCAUAGGAAUGCAUGGGUUAGGGUUAUGGUUAGGGUUAGGGUUGGAGCUAGGGUUAGGGUUAGGGUUAGGGUUGGAGUUAGGGUUAGUGUUGGAGCUAGGGUUAGGGUUGGGCUUGGAGCUAGGAUUUUUCUGAGUGCAAUGAACCAACUCCCGAGUCUCUAGGACGUUCCUAAAAAAAUUUGAUUUUUUCCCAUAGGAAUGCAUGGGUUAGGGUUAGGGUUAGGGUUGGAGCUAGGGUUAGGGUUAGGGUUAGGGUUGGAGUUAGGGUUAGUGUUAGAGCUAGGGUAAGGUUUGGGCUUGGAGCUAGGAUUUUUCUGAGUGCAAUGAACCAACUCCCGAGUCUCUAGGACGUUCCUAAAAAAAUUUGAUUUUUUCCCAUAGGAAUGCAUGGGUUAGGGUUAGGGUUAGGGUUGGAGCUAGGGUUAGGGUUAGGGUUAGGGUUGCAGUUAGGGUUAGUGUUGGAGCUAGGGUAAGGUUUGGGCUUGGAGCUAGGAUUUUUCUGAGUGCAAUGAACCAACUCCCGAGUCUCUAGGACGUUCCUAAAAAAAUUUGAUUUUUUUCCCAUAGGAAUGCAUGGGUUAGGGUUAUGGUUAGGGUUAGGGUUGGAGCUAGGGUUAGGGUUAGGGUUAGGGUUGGAGUUAGGGUUAGUGUUGGAGCUAGGGUUAGGGUUGGGCUUGGAGCUAGGAUUUAUCUGAGUGCAAUGAACCAACCCCCGAGUCUCUAGGACGUUCCUAAAAAAAUUUGAUUUUUUCCCAUAGGAAUGCAUGGGUUAGGGUUAUGGUUAGCGUUAGGGUUGGAGCUAGGGUUAGGGUUAGGGUUAGGGUUGGAGUUAGGGUUAGUGUUGGAGCUAGGGUUAGGGUUGGGCUUGGAGCUAGGAUUUUUCUGAGUGCACUGAACCAACUCCCGAGUCUCUAGGACGUUCCUAAAAAAAUUUGAUUUUUUCCCAUAGGAAUGCAUGGGUCAGGGUUAGGGUUAGGGUUGGAGCUAGGGUUAGGGUUAGGGUUAGGGUUGGAGUUAGGGUUAGUGUUGGAGCUAGGGUUAGGGUUGGGCUUGGAGCUAGGAUUUUUCUGAGUGCAAUGAACCAACUCCCGAGUCUCUAGGACGUUCCUAAAAAAAUUUGAUUUUUUCCCAUAGGAAUGCAUGGGUUAGGGUUAGGGUUAGGGUUAGGGUUGGAGCUAGGGUUAGGGUUAGGGUUAGGGUUGGAGUUAGGGUUAGUGUUGGAGCUAGGGUUAGGGUUGGGCUUGGAGCUAGGAUUUUUCUGAGUGCAAUGAACCAACUCCCGAGUCUCUAGGACGUUCCUAAAAAAAUUUGAUUUUUUCCCAUAGGAAUGCAUGGGUUAGGGUUAGGGUUAGGGUUGGAGCUAGGGUUAGGGUUAGGGUUAGGGUUGGAGUUAGGGUUAGUGUUGGAGCUAGGGUUAGGGUUGGGCUUGGAGCUAGGAUUUUUCUGAGUGCAAUGAACCAACUCCCGAGUCUCUAGGACGUUCCUAAAAAAAUUUGAUUUUUUCCCAUAGGAAUGCAUGGGUUAGGGUUAGGGUUAGGGUUGGAGCUAGGGUUAGGGUUAGGGUUAGGGUUGGAGUUAGGGUUAGUGUUGGAGCUAGGGUUAGGGUUGGGCUUGGAACUAGGACUUUUCUGAGUGCAAUGAACCAACUCCCGAGUCUCUAGGACGUUCCCUAAAAAAAUUUGAUUUUUUCCCAUAGGAAUGCAUGGGUUAGGGUUAGGGUUAGGGUUGGAGCUAGGGUUAGGGUUAGGGUUAGGGUUAGAGUUAGGGUUAGUGUUGGAGCUAGGGUUAGGGUUGGGCUUGGAGCUAGGAUUUUUCUGAGUGCACUGAACCAACUCCCGAGUCUCUAGGACGUUCCUAAAAAAAUUUGAUUUUUUCCCAUAGGAAUGCAUGGGUUAGGGUUAGGGUUAGGGUUGGAGCUAGGGUAAGGGUUAGGGUUAGGGUUGGAGUUAGGGUUAGUGUUGGAGCUAGGGUUAGGGUUGGGCUUGGAGCUAGGACUUUUCUGAGUGCAAUGAACCAACUCCCGAGUCUCUAGGACGUUCCCUAAUAAAAUUUGAUUUUUUCCCAUAGGAAUGCAUGGGUUAGGGUUAGGGUUAGGGUUGGAGCUAGGGUUAGGGUUAGGGUUAGGGUUGGAGUUAGGGUUAGUGUUGGAGCUAGGGUUAGGGUUGGGCUUGGAGCUAGGAUUUUUCUGAGUGCACUGAACCAACUCCCGAGUCUCUAGGACAUUCCUAAAAAAAUUUGAUUUUUUCCCAUAGGAAUGCAUGGGUUAGGGUUAUGGUUAGGGUUAGGGUUGGAGCUAGGGUUAGGGUUAGGGUUAGGGUUGGAGUUAGGGUUAGUGUUGGAGCUAGGGUUAGGGUUGGGCUUGGAGCUAGGAUUUUUCUGAGUGCAAUGAACCAACUCCCGAGUCUCUUGGACAUUCCUAAAAAAAUUUGAUUUUUUCCCAUAGGAAUGCAUGGGUUAGGGUUAGGGUUAGGGUUGGAGCUAGGGUUAGGGUUAGGGUUAGGGUUGGAGUUAGGGUUAGUGUUGGAGCUAGGGUUAGGGUUGGGCUUGGAGCUAGGAUUUUUCUGAGUGCAAUGAACCAACUCCCGAGUCUCUAGGACGUUCCUAAAAAAAUUUGAUUUUUUCCCAUAGGAAUGCAUGGGUUAGGGUUAGGGUUAGGGUUAGGGUUGGAGCUAGGGUUAGGGUUAGGGUUAGGGUUGGAGUUAGGGUUAGUGUUGGAGCUAGGGUUAGGGUUGGGCUUGGAGCUAGGAUUUUUCUGAGUGCAAUGAACCAACCCCGAGUCUCUAGGACGUUCCUAAAAAAAUUUGAUUUUUUCCCAUAGGAAUGCAUGGGUUAGGGUUAUGGUUAGGGUUAGGGUUGGAGCUAGGGUUAGGGUUAGGGUUAGGGUUGGAGUUAGGGUUAGUGUUGGAGCUAGGGUUAGGGUUGGGCUUGGAGCUAGGAUUUUUCUGAGUGCACUGAACCAACUCCCGAGUCUCUAGGACAUUCCUAAAAAAAAUUGAUUUUUUCCCAUAGGAAUGCAUGGGUUAGGGUUAGGGUUAGGGUUGGAGCUAGGGUUAGGGUUAGGGUUGGAGUUAGGGUUAGUGUUGGAGCUAGGGUUAGGGUUGGGCUUGGAGCUAGGACUUUUCUGAGUACAAUGAACCAACUCCCGAGUCUCUAGGACGUUCCCUAAAAAAAUUUGAUUUUUUCCCAUAGGAAUGCAUGGGUUAGGGUUAGGGUUAGGGUUGGAGCUAGGGUUAGGGUUAGGGUUAGGGUUGGAGUUAGGGUUAGUGUUGGAGCUAGGGUUAGGGUUGGGCUUGGAGCUAGGAUUUUUCUGAGUGCACUGAACCAACUCCCGAGUCUCUAGGACAUUCCUAAAAAAAUUUGAUUUUUUCCCAUAGGAAUGCAUGGGUUAGGGUUAUGGUUAGGGUUAGGGUUGGAGCUAGGGUUAGGGUUAGGGUUAGGGUUGGAGUUAGGGUUAGUGUUGGAGCUAGGGUUAGGGUUGGGCUUGGAGCUAGGAUUUUUCUGAGUGCAAUGAACCAACUCCUGAGUCUCUAGGACUUUCCUAAAAAAAUUUGAUUUUUUCCCAUAGGAAUGCAUGGGUUAGGGUUAGGGUUAGGGUUAGGGUUGGAGCUAGGGUUAGGGUUAGGGUUAGGGUUGGAGUUAGGGUUAGUGUUGGAGCUAGGGUUAGGGUUGGGCUUGGAGCUAGGAUUUUUCUGAGUGCAAUGAACCAACCCCUAGUCUCUAGGACGUUCCUAAAAAAAUUUGAUUUUUUCCCAUAGGAAUGCAUGGGUUAGGGUUAUGGUUAGGGUUAGGGUUGGAGCUAGGGUUAGGGUUAGGGUUAGGGUUGGAGUUAGGGUUAGUGUUGGAGCUAGGGUUAGGGUUGGGCUUGGAGCUAGGAUUUUUCUGAGUGCACUGAACCAACUCCCGAGUCUCUAGGACAUUCCUAAAAAAAUUGAUUUUUUCCCAUAGGAAUGCAUGGGUUAGGGUUAGGGUUGGAGCUAGGGUUAGGGUUAGGGUUGGAGUUAGGGUUAGUGUUGGAGCUAGGGUUAGGGUUGGGCUUGGAGCUAGGACUUUUCUGAGUGCAAUGAACCAACUCCCGAGUCUCUAGGACGUUCCCUAAAAAAAUUUGAUUUUUUCCCAUAGGAAUGCAUGGGUUAGGGUUAGGGUUAGGGUUGGAGCUAGGGUUAGGGUUAGGGUUAGGGUUGGAGUUAGGGUUAGUGUUGGAGCUAGGGUUAGGGUUGGGCUUGGAGCUAGGAUUUUUCUGAGUGCACUGAACCAACUCCCGAGUCUCUAGGACAUUCCUAAAAAAAUUGAUUUUUUCCCAUAGGAAUGCAUGGGUUAGGGUUAGGGUUAGGGUUGGAGCUAGGGUUAGGGUUAGGGUUAGGGUUGGAGUUAGGGUUAGUGUUGGAGCUAGGGUUAGGGUUGGGCUUGGAGCUAGGAUUUUUCUGAGUGCACUGAACCAACUCCCGAGUCUCUAGGACAUUCCUAAAAAAAAAUUUGAUUUUUUCCCAUAGGAAUGCAUGGGUUAGGGUUAUGGUUAGGGUAAGGGUUGGAGCUAGGGUUAGGGUUAGGGUUAGGGUUGGAGUUAGGGUUAGUGUUGGAGCUAGGGUUAGGGUUGGGCUUGGAGCUAGGAUUUUUCUGAGUGCAAUGAACCAACUCCCGAGUCUCUUGGACAUUCCUAAAAAAAUUUGAUUUUUUCCCAUAGGAAUGCAUGGGUUAGGGUUAGGGUUAGGGUUGGAGCUAGGGUUAGGGUUAGGGUUAGUGUUGGAGCUAGGGUUAGGGUUGGGCUUGGAGCUAGGACUUUUCUGAGUGCAAUGAACCAACUCCCGAGUCUCUAGGACGUUCCCUAAAAAAAUUUGAUUUUUUCCCAUAGGAAUGCAUGGGUUAGGGUUAGGGUUAGGGUUGGAGCUAGGGUUAGGGUUAGGGUUAGGGUUGGAGUUAGGGUUAGUGUUGGAGCUAGGGUUAGGGUUGGGCUUGGAGCUAGGAUUUUUCUGAGUGCACUGAACCAACUCCCGAGUCUCUAGGACAUUCCUAAAAAAAUUUGAUUUUUUCCCAUAGGAAUGCAUGGGUUAGGGUUAUGGUUAGGGUUAGGGUUGGAGCUAGGGUUAGGGUUAGGGUUAGGGUUGGAGUUAGGGUUAGUGUUGGAGCUAGGGUUAGGGUUGGGCUUGGAGCUAGGAUUUUUCUGAGUGCAAUGAACCAACUCCCGAGUCUCUAGGACGUUCCUAAAAAAUUUGAUUUUUUCCCAUAGGAAUGCAUGGGUUAGGGUUAGGGUUAGGGUUGGAGCUAGGGUUAGGGUUAGGGUUAGGGUUGGAGUUAGGGUUAGUGUUGGAGCUAGGGUUAGGGUUGGGCUUGGAGCUAGGAUUUUUCUGAGUGCAAUGAACCAACUCCCGAGUCUCUAGGACGUUCCUAAAAAAAUUUGAUUUUUUCCCAUAGGAAUGCAUGGGUUAGGGUUAGGGUUAGGGUUAGGGUUGGAUCUAGGGUUAGGGUUAGGGUUAGGGUUGGAGUUAGGGUUAGUGUUGGAGCUAGGGUUAGGGUUGGGCUUGGAGCUAGGAUUUUUCUGAGUGCAAUGAACCAACCCCGAGUCUCUAGGACGUUCCUAAAAAAAUUUGAUUUUUUCCCAUAGGAAUGCAUGGGUUAGGGUUAUGGUUAGGGUUAGGGUUGGAGCUAGGGUUAGGGUUAGGGUUAGGGUUGGAGUUAGGGUUAGUGUUGGAGCUAGGGUUAGGGUUGGGCUUGGAGCUAGGAUUUUUCUGAGUGCACUGAACCAACUCCCGAGUCUCUAGGACAUUCCUAAAAAAAAUUGAUUUUUUCCCAUAGGAAUGCAUGGGUUAGGGUUAGGGUUAGGGUUGGAGCUAGGGUUAGGGUUAGGGUUGGAGUUAGGGUUAGUGUUGGAGCUAGGGUUAGGGUUGGGCUUGGAGCUAGGACUUUUCUGAGUGCAAUGAACCAACUCCCGAGUCUCUAGGACGUUCCCUAAAAAAAUUUGAUUUUUUCCCAUAGGAAUGCAUGGGUUAGGGUUAGGGUUAGGGUUGGAGCUAGGGUUAGGGUUAGGGUUAGGGUUGGAGUUAGGGUUAGUGUUGGAGCUAGGGUUAGGGUUGGGCUUGGAGCUAGGAUUUUUCUGAGUGCACUGAACCAACUCCCGAGUCUCUAGGACAUUCCUAAAAAAAAUUGAUUUUUUUCCCAUAGGAAUGCAUGGGUUAGGGUUAGGGUUAGGGUUGGAGCUAGGGUUAGGGUUAGGGUUAGGGUUGGAGUUAGGGUUAGUGUUGGAGCUAGGGUUAGGGUUGGGCUUGGAGCUAGGAUUUUUCUGAGUGCACUGAACCAACUCCCGAGUCUCUAGGACAUUCCUAAAAAAAUUUGAUUUUUUCCCAUAGGAAUGCAUGGGUUAGGGCUAUGGUUAGGGUAAGGGUUGGAGCUAGGGUUAGGGUUAGGGUGAGGGUUGGAGUUAGGGUUAGUGUUGGAGCUAGGGUUAGGGUUGGGCUUGGAGCUAGGAUUUUUCUGAGUGCAAUGAACCAACUCCCGAGUCUCUUGGACAUUCCUAAAAAAAUUUGAUUUUUUCCCAUAGGAAUGCAUGGGUUAGGGUUAGGGUUAGGGUUGGAGCUAGGGUUAGGGUUAGGGUUAGGGUUGGAGUUAGGGUUAGUGUUGGAGCUAGGGUUAGGGUUGGGCUUGGAGCUAGGAUUUUUCUGAGUGCAAUGAACCAACUCCCGAGUCUCUAGGACGUUCCUAAAAAAAUUUGAUUUUUUCCCAUAGGAAUGCAUGGGUUAGGGUUAGGGUUAGGGUUAGGGUUGGAGCUAGGGUUAGGGUUAGGGUUAGGGUUGGAGUUAGGGUUAGUGUUGGAGCUAGGGUUAGGGUUGGGCUUGGAGCUAGGAUUUUUCUGAGUGCAAUGAACCAACCCCGAGUCUCUAGGACGUUCCUAAAAAAAUUUGAUUUUUUCCCAUAGGAAUGCAUGGGUUAGGGUUAUGGUUAGGGUUAGGGUUGGAGCUAGGGUUAGGGUUAGGGUUAGGGUUGGAGUUAGGGUUAGUGUUUGAGCUAGGGUUAGGGUUGGGCUUGGAGCUAGGAUUUUUCUGAGUGCAAUGAACCAACUCCCGAGUCUCUAGGACGUUCCUAAAAAAAUUUGAUUUUUUCCCAUAGGAAUGCAUGGGUUAGGGUUAGGGUUAGGGUUGGAGCUAGGGUUAGGGUUAGGGUUAGGGUUGGAGUUAGGGUUAGUGUUGGAGCUAGGGUUAGGGUUGGGCUUGGAGCUAGGAUUUUUCUGAGUGCAAUGAACCAACUCCCGAGUCUCUAGGACGUUCCUAAAACAAUUUGAUUUUUUCCCAUAGGAAUGCAUGGGUUAGGGUUAGGGUUAGGGUUGGAGCUAGGGUUAGGGUUAGGGUUAGGGUUGGAGUUAGGGUUAGUGUUGGAGCUAGGGUUAGGGUUGGGCUUGGAGCUAGGACUUUUCUGAGUGCAAUGAACCAACUCCCGAGUCUCUAGGACGUUCCCUAAAAAAAUUUGAUUUUUUCCCAUAGGAAUGCAUGGGUUAGGGUUAGGGUUAGGGUUGGAGCUAGGGUUAGGGUUAGGGUUAGGGUUAGAGUUAGGGUUAGUGUUGGAGCUAGGGUUAGGGUUGGGCUUGGAGCUAGGAUUUUUCUGAGUGCACUGAACCAACUCCCGAGUCUCUAGGACAUUCCUAAAAAAAUUGAUUUUUUUCCAUAGGAAUGCAUGGGUUAGGGUUAGGGUUAGGGUUGGAGCUAGGGUUAGUGUUAGGUUUAGGGUUGGAGUUAGGGUUAGUGUUUGAGCUAGGGUUAGGGCUGGGCUUGGAGCUAGGAUUUUUCUGAGUGCAAUGAACCAACUCCCGAGUCUCUAGGACGUUCCUAAAAAAAAUUGAUUUUUUCCCAUAGGAAUGCAUGGGUUAGGGUUAGGGUUAGGGUUGGAGCUAGGGUUAGGGUUAGGGUUAGGGUUGGAGUUAGGGUUAGUGUUGGAGCUAGGGUUAGGGUUGGGCUUGGAGCUAGGAUUUUUCUGAGUGCAAUGAACCAACUCCCGAGUCUCUAGGACGUUCCUAAAAAAAUUUGAUUUUUUCCCAUAGGAAUGCAUGGGUUAGGGUUAGGGUUAGGGUUGGAGCUAGGGUUAGGGUUAGGGUUAGGGUUGGAGUUAGGGUUAGUGUUGGAGCUAGGGUUAGGGUUGGGCUUGGAGCUAGGAUUUUUCUGAGUGCACUGAACCAACUCCCGAGUCUCUAGGACAUUCCUAAAAAAAUUUGAUUUUUUCCCAUAGGAAUGCAUGGGUUAGGGUUAGGGUUAGGGUUGGAGCUAGGGUUAGGGUUAGGGUUGGAGUUAGGGUUAGUGUUGGAGCUAGGGUUAGGGUUGGGCUUGGAGCUAGGACUUUUCUGAGUGCAAUGAACCAACUCCCGAGUCUCUAGGACGUUCCCUAAAAAAAAUUGAUUUUUUCCCAUAGGAAUGCAUGGGUUAGGGUUAGGGUUAGGGUUGGAGCUAGGGUUAGGGUUAGGGUUAGGGUUAGAGUUAGGGUUAGUGUUGGAGCUAGGGUUAGGGUUGGGCUUGGAGCUAGGAUUUUUCUGAGUGCACUGAACCAACUCCCGAGUCUCUAGGACAUUCCUAAAAAAAAUUGAUUUUUUUCCAUAGGAAUGCAUGGGUUAGGGUUAGGGUUAGGGUUGGAGCUAGGGUUAGUGUUAGGUUUAGGGUUGGAGUUAGGGUUAGUGUUGGAGUUAGGGUUAGGGUUGGGCUUGGAGCUAGGAUUUUUCUGAGUGCAAUGAACCAACUCCCGAGUCUCUAGGACGUUCCUAAAAAAAUUUGAUUUUUUCCCAUAGGAAUGCAUGGGUUAGGGUUAGGGUUAGGGUUGGAGCUAGGGUUAGGGUUAGGGUUAGGGUUGGAGUUAGGGUUAGUGUUGGAGCUAGGGUUAGGGUUGGGCUUGGAGCUAGGAUUUUUCUGAGUGCACUGAACCAACUCCCGAGUCUCUAGGACAUUCCUAAAAAAAUUUGAUUUUUUCCCAUAGGAAUGCAUGGGUUAGGGUUAUGGUUAGGGUUAGGGUUGGAGCUAGGGUUAGGGUUAGGGUUAGGGUUGGAGUUAGGGUUAGUGUUGGAGCUAGGGUUAGGGUUGGGCUUGGAGCUAGGAUUUUUCUGAGAGGCACUGAACCAACUCCCGAGUCUCUAGGACAUUCCUAAAAAAAUUUGAUUUUUCCCAUAGGAAUGCAUGGGUUAGGGUUAUGGUUAGGGUUAGGGUUGGAGCUAGGGUUAGGGUUAGGGUUAGGGUUGGAGUUAUGGUUAGUGUUGGAGCUAGGGUUAGGGUUGGGCUUGGAGCUAGGAUUUUUCUGAGUGCAAUGAACCAACUCCCGAGUCUCUAGGACGUUCCUAAAAAAAUUUGAUUUUUUCCCAUAGGAAUGCAUGGGUUAGGGUUAGGGUUAGGGUUGGAGCUAGGGUUAGGGUUAGGGUUAGGGUUAGGGUUGGAGUUAGGGUUAGUGUUGGAGCUAGGGUUAGGGUUGGGCUUGGAGCUAGGAUUUUUCUGAGUGCACUGAACCAACUCCCGAGUCUCUAGGACAUUCCUAAAAAAAUUUGAUUUUUUCCCAUAGGAAUGCAUGGGUUAGGGUUAGGGUUAGGGUUGGAGCUAGGGUUAGGGUUAGGGUUAGGGUUGGAGUUAGGGUUAGUGUUGGAGCUAGGGUUAGGGUUGGGCUUGGACUAGGAUUUUUCUGAGUGCACUGAACCAACUCCCGAGUCUCUAGGACAUUCCUAAAAAAAUUUGAUUUUUUCCCAUAGGAAUGCAUGGGUUAGGGUUAUGGUUAGGGUUAGGGUUGGAGCUAGGGUUAGGGUUAGGGUUAGGGUUGGAGUUAGGGUUAGUGUUGGAGCUAGGGUUAGGGUUGGGCUUGGAGCUAGGAUUUUUCUGAGUGCAAUGAACCAACUCCCGAGUCUCUUGGACGUUCCUAAAAAAAUUUGAUUUUUUCCCAUAGGAAUGCAUGGGUUAGGGUUAGGGUUAGGGUUGGAGCUAGGGUUAGGGUUAGGGUUAGGGUUGGAGUUAGGGUUAGUGUUGGAGCUAGGGUUAGGGUUGGGCUUGGAGCUAGGAUUUUUCUGAGUGCACUGAACCAACUCCCGAGUCUCUAGGACAUUCCUAAAAAAAUUUGAUUUUUUCCCAUAGGAAUGCAUGGGUUAGGGUUAUGUUUAGGGUUAGGGUUGGAGCUAGGGUUAGGGUUAGGGUUAGGGUUGGAGUUAGGGUUAGUGUUGGAGCUAGGGUUAGGGUUGGGCUUGGAGCUAGGAUUUUUCUGAGUGCAAUGAACCAACUCCCGAGUCUCUUGGACGUUCCUAAAAAAAUUUGAUUUUUUCCCAUAGGAAUGCAUGGGUUAGGGUUAGGGUUAGGGUUGGAGCUAGGGUUAGGGUUAGGGUUAGGGUUGGAGUUAGGGUUAGUGUUGGAGCUAGGGUUAGGGUUGGGCUUGGAGCUAGGAUUUUUCUGAGUGCAAUGAACCAACUCCCGAGUCUCUAGGACGUUCCUAAAAAAAUUUGAUUUUUUCCCAUAGGAAUGCAUGGGUUAGGGUUAGGGUUAGGGUUAGGGUUGGAGCUAGGGUUAGGGUUAGGGUUAGGGUUGGAGUUAGGGUUAGUGUUGGAGCUAGGGUUAGGGUUGGGCUUGGAGCUAGGAUUUUUCUGAGUGCAAUGAACCAACCCCGAGUCUCUAGGACGUUCCUAAAAAAUUUGAUUUUUUCCCAUAGGAAUGCAUGGGUUAGGGUUAUGGUUAGGGUUAGGGUUGGAGCUAGGGUUAGGGUUAGGGUUAGGGUUGGAGUUAGGGUUAGUGUUUGAGCUAGGGUUAGGGUUGGGCUUGGAGCUAGGAUUUUUCUGAGUGCAAUGAACCAACUCCCGAGUCUCUAGGACGUUCCUAAAAAAAUUUGAUUUUUUCCCAUAGGAAUGCAUGGGUUAGGGUUAGGGUUAGGGUUGGAGCUAGGGUUAGGGUUAGGGUUAGGGUUGGAGUUAGGGUUAGUGUUGGAGCUAGGGUUAGGGUUGGGCUUGGAGCUAGGAUUUUUCUGAGUGCAAUGAACCAACUCCCGAGUCUCUAGGACGUUCCUAAAACAAUUUGAUUUUUUCCCAUAGGAAUGCAUGGGUUAGGGUUAGGGUUAGGGUUGGAGCUAGGGUUAGGGUUAGGGUUAGGGUUGGAGUUAGGGUUAGUGUUGGAGCUAGGGUUAGGGUUGGGCUUGGAGCUAGGACUUUUCUGAGUGCAAUGAACCAACUCCCGAGUCUCUAGGACGUUCCCUAAAAAAAUUUGAUUUUUUCCCAUAGGAAUGCAUGGGUUAGGGUUAGGGUUAGGGUUGGAGCUAGGGUUAGGGUUAGGGUUAGGGUUAGAGUUAGGGUUAGUGUUGGAGCUAGGGUUAGGGUUGGGCUUGGAGCUAGGAUUUUUCUGAGUGCACUGAACCAACUCCCGAGUCUCUAGGACAUUCCUAAAAAAAUUGAUUUUUUUCCAUAGGAAUGCAUGGGUUAGGGUUAGGGUUAGGGUUGGAGCUAGGGUUAGUGUUAGGUUUAGGGUUGGAGUUAGGGUUAGUGUUGGAGCUAGGGUUAGGGUUGGGCUUGGAGCUAGGAUUUUUCUGAGUGCAAUGAACCAACUCCCGAGUCUCUAGGACGUUCCUAAAAAAAUUGAUUUUUUCCCAUAGGAAUGCAUGGGUUAGGGUUAGGGUUAGGGUUGGAGCUAGGGUUAGGGUUAGGGUUAGGGUUGGAGUUAGGGUUAGUGUUGGAGCUAGGGUUAGGGUUGGGCUUGGAGCUAGGAUUUUUCUGAGUGCAAUGAACCAACUCCCGAGUCUCUAGGACGUUCCUAAAAAAAUUUGAUUUUUUCCCAUAGGAAUGCAUGGGUUAGGGUUAGGGUUAGGGUUGGAGCUAGGGUUAGGGUUAGGGUUAGGGUUGGAGUUAGGGUUAGUGUUGGAGCUAGGGUUAGGGUUGGGCUUGGAGCUAGGAUUUUUCUGAGUGCACUGAACCAACUCCCGAGUCUCUAGGACAUUCCUAAAAAAAUUUGAUUUUUUCCCAUAGGAAUGCAUGGGUUAGGGUUAGGGUUAGGGUUGGAGCUAGGGUUAGGGUUAGGGUUGGAGUUAGGGUUAGUGUUGGAGCUAGGGUUAGGGUUGGGCUUGGAGCUAGGACUUUUCUGAGUGCAAUGAACCAACUCCCGAGUCUCUAGGACGUUCCCUAAAAAAAAUUGAUUUUUUCCCAUAGGAAUGCAUGGGUUAGGGUUAGGGUUAGGGUUGGAGCUAGGGUUAGGGUUAGGGUUAGGGUUAGAGUUAGGGUUAGUGUUGGAGCUAGGGUUAGGGUUGGGCUUGGAGCUAGGAUUUUUCUGAGUGCACUGAACCAACUCCCGAGUCUCUAGGACAUUCCUAAAAAAAAUUGAUUUUUUUCCCAUAGGAAUGCAUGGGUUAGGGUUAGGGUUAGGGUUGGAGCUAGGGUUAGUGUUAGGUUUAGGGUUGGAGUUAGGGUUAGUGUUGGAGUUAGGGUUAGGGUUGGGCUUGGAGCUAGGAUUUUUCUGAGUGCAAUGAACCAACUCCCGAGUCUCUAGGACGUUCCUAAAAAAAUUUGAUUUUUUCCCAUAGGAAUGCAUGGGUUAGGGUUAGGGUUAGGGUUGGAGCUAGGGUUAGGGUUAGGGUUAGGGUUGGAGUUAGGGUUAGUGUUGGAGCUAGGGUUAGGGUUGGGCUUGGAGCUAGGAUUUUUCUGAGUGCACUGAACCAACUCCCGAGUCUCUAGGACAUUCCUAAAAAAAUUUGAUUUUUUCCCAUAGGAAUGCAUGGGUUAGGGUUAUGGUUAGGGUUAGGGUUGGAGCUAGGGUUAGGGUUAGGGUUAGGGUUGGAGUUAGGGUUAGUGUUGGAGCUAGGGUUAGGGUUGGGCUUGGAGCUAGGAUUUUUCUGAGAGCACUGAACCAACUCCCGAGUCUCUAGGACAUUCCUAAAAAAAUUUGAUUUUUUCCCAUAGGAAUGCAUGGGUUAGGGUUAUGGUUAGGGUUAGGGUUGGAGCUAGGGUUAGGGUUAGGGUUAGGGUUGGAGUUAUGGUUAGUGUUGGAGCUAGGGUUAGGGUUGGGCUUGGAGCUAGGAUUUUUCUGAGUGCAAUGAACCAACUCCAGAGUCUCUAGGACGUUCCUAAAAAAAUUUGAUUUUUUCCCAUAGGAAUGCAUGGGUUAGGGUUAGGGUUAGGGUUGGAGCUAGGGUUAGGGUUAGGGUUAGGGUUAGGGUUGGAGUUAGGGUUAGUGUUGGAGCUAGGGUUAGGGUUGGGCUUGGAGCUAGGAUUUUUCUGAGUGCACUGAACCAACUCCCGAGUCUCUAGGACAUUCCUAAAAAAAUUUGAUUUUUUCCCAUAGGAAUGCAUGGGUUAGGGUUAGGGUUAGGGUUGGAGCUAGGGUUAGGGUUAGGGUUAGGGUUGGAGUUAGGGUUAGUGUUGGAGCUAGGGUUAGGGUUGGGCUUGGAGCUAGGAUUUUUCUGAGUGCACUGAACCAACUCCCGAGUCUCUAGGACAUUCCUAAAAAAUUUGAUUUUUUCCCAUAGGAAUGCAUGGGUUAGGGUUAUGGUUAGGGUUAGGGUUGGAGCUAGGGUUAGGGUUAGGGUUAGGGUUGGAGUUAGGGUUAGUGUUGGAGCUAGGGUUAGGGUUGGGCUUGGAGCUAGGAUUUUUCUGAGUGCAAUGAACCAACUCCCGAGUCUCUUGGACGUUCCUAAAAAAAUUUGAUUUUUUCCCAUAGGAAUGCAUGGGUUAGGGUUAGGGUUAGGGUUGGAGCUAGGGUUAGGGUUAGGGUUAGGGUUGGAGUUAGGGUUAGUGUUGGAGCUAGGGUUAGGGUUGGGCUUGGAGCUAGGAUUUUUCUGAGUGCACUGAACCAACUCCCGAGUCUCUAGGACAUUCCUAAAAAAAUUAGAUUUUUUCCCAUAGGAAUGCAUGGGUUAGGGUUAUGUUUAGGGUUAGGGUUGGAGCUAGGGUUAGGGUUAGGGUUAGGGUUGGAGUUAGGGUUAGUGUUGGAGCUAGGGUUAGGGUUGGGCUUGGAGCUAGGAUUUUUCUGAGUGCAAUGAACCAACUCCCGAGUCUCUUGGACGUUCCUAAAAAAAUUUGAUUUUUUCCCAUAGGAAUGCAUGGGUUAGGGUUAGGGUUAGGGUUGGAGCUAGGGUUAGGGUUAGGGUUAGGGUUGGAGUUAGGGUUAGUGUUGGAGCUAGGGUUAGGGUUGGGCUUGGAGCUAGGAUUUUUCUGAGUGCAAUGAACCAACUCCCGAGUCUCUAGGACGUUCCUAAAAAAAUUUGAUUUUUUCCCAUAGGAAUGCAUGGGUUAGGGUUAGGGUUAGGGUUGGAGCUAGGGUUAGGGUUAGGGUUAGGGUUGGAGUUAAGGUUAGUGUUGGAGCUAGGGUUAGGGUUGGGCUUGGAGCUAGGAUUUUUCUGAGUGCAAUGAACCAACUACCGAGUCUCUAGGACGUUCCUAAAAAAAUUUGAUUUUUUCCCAUAGGAAUGCAUGGGUUAGGGUUAUGGUUAGGGUUAGGGUUGGAGCUAGGGUUAGGGUUAGGGUUAGGGUUGGAGUUAGGGUUAGUGUUGGAGCUAGGGUUAGGGUUGGGCUUGGAGCUAGGAUUUUUCUGAGUGCAAUGAACCAACCCCCGAGUCUCUAGGACGUUCCUAAAAAAAUUUGAUUUUUUCCCAUAGGAAUGCAUGGGUUAGGGUUAUGGUUAGGGUUAGGGUUGGAGCUAGGGUUAGGGUUAGGGUUAGGGUUGGAGUUAGGGUUAGUGUUGGAGCUAGGGUUAGGGUUGGGCUUGGAGCUAGGAUUUUUCUGAGUGCAAUGAACCAACUCCCGAGUCUCUAGGACAUUCCUAAAAAAAUUUGAUUUUUUCCCAUAGGAAUGCAUGGGUUAGGGUUAGGGUUAGGGUUGGAGCUAGGGUUAGGGUUAGGGUUAGGGUUGGAGUUAGGGUUAGUGUUGGAGCUAGGGUUAGGGUUGGGCUUGGAGCUAGGAUUUUUCUGAGUGCAAUGAACCAACUCCCGAGUCUCUAGGACGUUCCUAAAAAAAUUUGAUUUUUUCCCAUAGGAAUGCAUGGGUUAGGGUUAGGGUUAGGGUUGGAGCUAGGGUUAGGGUUAGGGUUAGGGUUAGUGUUGGAGCUAGGGUUAGGGUUGGGCUUGGAGCUAGGAUUUUUCUGAGUGCACUGAACCAACUCCCGAGUCUCUAGGACAUUCCUAAAAAAAUUAGAUUUUUUCCCAUAGGAAUGCAUGGGUUAGGGUUAGGGUUAGGCUUGGAGCUAGGGUUAGGGUUAGGGUUAGGGUUGGAGUUAGGGUUAGUGUUGGAGCUAGGGUUAGGGUUGGGCUUGGAGCUAGGAUUUUUCUGAGUGCAAUGAACCAACUCCCGAGUCUCUAGGACGUUCCUAAAAAAAUUUGAUUUUUUCCCAUAGGAAUGCAUGGGUUAGGGUUAGGGUUAGGGUUGGAGCUAGGGUUAGGGUUAGGGUUAGGGUUGGAGUUAGGGUUAGUGUUGGAGCUAGGGUUAGGGUUGGGCUUGGAGCUAGGAUUUUUCUGAGUGCACUGAACCAACUCCCGAGUCUCUAGGACAUUCCUAAAAAAAUUUGAUUUUUUCCCAUAGGAAUGCAUGGGUUAGGGUUAUGGUUAGGGUUAGGGUUGGAGCUAGGGUUAGGGUUAGGGUUAGGGUUGGAGUUAGGGUUAGUGUUGGAGCUAGGGUUAGGGUUGGGCUUGGAGCUAGGAUUUUUCUGAGUGCACUGAACCAACUCCCGAGUCUCUAGGACAUUCCUAAAAAAAUUUGAUUUUUUCCCAUAGGAAUGCAUGGGUUAGGGUUAGGGUUAGGCUUGGAGCUAGGGUUAGGGUUAGGGUUAGGGUUGGAGUUAGGGUUAGUGUUGGAGCUAGGGUUAGGGUUGGGCUUGGAGCUAGGAUUUUUCUGAGUGCACUGAACCAACUCCCGAGUCUCUAGGACAUUCCUAAAAAAAAUUGAUUUUUUUCCCAUAGGAAUGCAUGGGUUAGGGUUAUGGUUAGGGUUAGGGUUGGAGCUAGGGUUAGGGUUGGAGUUAGGGUUAGUGUUGGAGCUAGGGUUAGGGUUAGGGUUAGGGUUAGGGUUAGGGUUAGGGUUAGGUUAGGGUUAGGGUUGGAGCUAGGGUUAGGGUUAGGGUUAGGGUUGGAGUUAGGGUUAGUGUUGGACCUAGGGUUAGGGUUGGGCUUGGAGCUAGGAUUUUUCUGAGUGCAAUGAACCAACUCCCGAGUCUCUAGGACGUUCCUAAACAAAUUUGAUUUUUUCCCAUAGGAAUGCAUGGGUUAGGGUUAGGGUUAGGGUUGGAGCUAGGGUUAGGGUUAGGGUUAGGGUUGGAGUUAGGGUUAGUGUUGGAGCUAGGGUUAGGGUUGGGCUUGGAGCUAGGAUUUUUCUGAGUGCAAUGAACCAACUCCCGAGUCUCUAGGACGUUCCUAAAAAAUUUGAUUUUUUCCCAUAGGAAUGCAUGGGUUAGGGUUAGGGUUAGGGUUGGAGCUAGGGUUAGGGUUAGGGUUAGGGUUGGAGUUAAGGUUAGUGUUGGAGCUAGGGUUAGGGUUGGGCUUGGAGCUAGGAUUUUUCUGAGUGCAAUGAACCAACUCCCGAGUCUCUAGGACGUUCCUAAAAAAAAUUGAUUUUUUCCCAUAGGAAUGCAUGGGUUAGGGUUAUGGUUAGGGUUAGGGUUGGAGCUAGGGUUAGGGUUAGGGUUAGGGUUGGAGUUAGGGUUAGUGUUGGAGCUAGGGUUAGGGUUGGGCUUGGAGCUAGGAUUUUUCUGAGUGCAAUGAACCAACCCCCGAGUCUCUAGGACGUUCCUAAAAAAAUUUGAUUUUUUCCCAUAGGAAUGCAUGGGUUAGGGUUAUGGUUAGGGUUAGGGUUGGAGCUAGG